RNAcentral lists this ribosomal RNA (1074 nucleotides) under Triticum aestivum (bread wheat). Its description in RNAcentral is "partial small subunit ribosomal RNA". Lineage: Eukaryota; Viridiplantae; Streptophyta; Magnoliopsida; Poales; Poaceae. The record is from RNAcentral.
AUGACUGAGAAGAUGGGAUGGUCCCUGGGAGCAAAACUGGGCGAGGUGGUGGAGGUCUCACACCGCAACAGAGUCAUUGUUGAUGAGUACCUGCGGGUGCGGGUGAAGCACCCUCUUCAUGAGCCUCUACGCAAGCACAUCUUUGAAAUUAGGUUCGAGGACGGCGCGAGUGUGGUGCCGGGGCUGGCACCAACGCUACCUUCCUCUGUUGGGGGCUCCUCCAAUCAGCUGCUUCCUAAUUCAUCAACACCUCCGCCUUGUCCGGGAGCUGUGCCUUCCGGGCUGCUACUGGAGGGACCUUCCAAGGGGGGGUCGUUCGCUCCUCCGUCACACCCGGCCACUGCUACUGGGGCGCUCAGUCAACAAGGCUUGAGCCCCACAGCAAUUGCUGCUCUUCAUCAAGCUGUGCUCGCCCGGGUAAGCCGGGUGGGAAAGGACUCCAUCGCCUUUGAAGGCUUGAACCCCGGCCAGGAGGGUCGGGGUCUGGUACCUGCCUCCCCUGCUCCUUUAGGCCCCUGCCUUGGUCAGGAGGGUCGGGGCGUGGGGGCUGUUGAGGUGUCUCCUCUGGAUGCGCCUGUUGGCGAGGGGUCGGGCACUCGGAUGACUCCACAAGGUGCUCAUGUUUUUAUUUUCGCUGCUCCUAAGGUGGCUGUGCAGGGGAAUGUAAAAGCUAACUGGAAAAGAAUGGUUAGGGAGGGGGAUAGGACUCAGGUCCAGGGUCACAAUAGCAACAGGGGAGAUGAGAAUACACAUGGUCUAGGCAUAGGUAAAAAGAGAGGCGCUCCUAGUUAUGCACUGCCUACGGGUAGUGAUAUCAACUUUUCUUUUGAGAAUGCUAGCCUGGAGAGUAACGAUCUGUUCCUGACUAGGGAUGUGAAUGCCUCUUGUAAGAGGGUUUGUGGGGGUCGGGUUGAAAAGGUUUGGGGUGAGGAUGGAGCGACCUCUCAUGUUGCGAAGGAGUUAGAGGAGAAAGAGGAGGAUUAUGUAGAGGGAAGAAGGGAGUCUGUUGGAGAGAAGAAAGGUGCAAAUAGUGCUCCGGCGACCUUCGGUCAGGAGGACCGCCAGGAGAAAUGA